RNAcentral lists this unclassified non-coding RNA (1261 nucleotides) under Leishmania donovani. Its description in RNAcentral is "gene:LdHU3.36.2000(CDS-product:hypothetical_prote in_conserved)". Lineage: Eukaryota; Euglenozoa; Kinetoplastea; Trypanosomatida; Trypanosomatidae. The record is from RNAcentral.
CCGCGUUGACAGAGGCGCUUUACUGAUUGUGUUGUCUGCUACCAAUGCUCUGUCGUAACCUCUCAAGUUGCUACGGUGCUCAUAGGCGCUGCCGGCCUUCUCUGGGUGUCGCGUUCUGCGCCUUGCUGGUCGAACCCCCGCAGGCGGCGUACCUUCGCCGUUGCGCGGCGUCCUCAAGGGGUACAGGCACGGCGGCCUUGCUCAGCAGCGAUCACGCAUUGCUGUCUGUCUGCAAGCGCUGCGAGCACACCGCCACCAUGGCAACGCCACCAAAAAGGGAUUUGACAACGAAGGAGCAGGUUGACGAGCUAAUGGACUCGUUUGCGGAGGCCUGCGAGCUGAUUACCGAUGCGAAGGAAAGCGUCGGCACAACGUACUUCGCGGACGACAUGGAGGACGCGGAGAAGCAGACGCAAGAUGUCCUGAACCGCUGGGAGAGCCUGCAGGCAGCGCUGGAGCACAAGGGGACCGCAGAGGAGCUGCAGAAGGUUCGCAACAUGUACGAUCUAAAGAUCAAGCAGCUGAAGGCAGAGCUUGAGACGGUGCGUGAGGCUGGCGGGGCCGGGUAAGUCCCGCGCUGUGGUAGUCGCAGCGCUGCUUACUCACUCUUUUACACUCUCCAGACUACUUCUACCCCGUUCUCCCUCCACCGAGAGGUAAGCUAGAAGGCGUAGUCGCCACGCGUGCGCGUUGCUCGUGGGCCUCUUUCUGACGCCAGGUGACCCUAUAGCUUGUGUACUGCCGCUGCGCAAAGGCCUCCUCUCUCCACUGUGGUCUGCUUCAGCCCGAUGAUGAUAGUGCGCAUAUGUCCACCUUGUCUUCCUUCUCUCUCCCCCAGGAGGAAAGGAGCCACUUUAAACGUUUCGCGUAACAGCGUUUUGUGUGUCUGCGUGUGUGUGGGGGGGGGGCGGGCGACGGAUUUCUUUUGUUGUUUCUGUGUCGCCGGCGCGCAGGUGGUCGGUUGCCACUGCAAGGAAAAGCGAAGAGGUCUCUCAUACCUGCGUGACUGCACUCCACAUACGCAGUAGCCGGGAAGCAACGGUGUGACCGCUUCUGCUCGUUUUCUCACAUCGAGAUGGGUCUUUAGCUCCCUCAUGCACACGGAUGUUGGGCGCUGCACGGAUGGUUGCGUAUCGUAUUUGCACCUGUGUGCGCGCUUGUGCCGGCCUUGGCGCCACCCCUUCUUAUUCAGCCUUCCCCUUUGCCUUUCGGCGCUCGCUGCCCAUGUUGGUCCAUUGCUGCACCGGCAACGUCUUUGUGC